UGUAAGCGUAUACCAAAGUUGUUGCAGUUAAAACGCUCGUAGUCGGAAUUUGGCAGUUCCGGAUGUGUGCACGUCGUGUGCGCACUUCGCGGGGAUUGCUUUUGUGGUCUUGCGUAGGAUGAGGCACUUUUAUUAGUGAACGUCCUCACGCAACCACUUUUUACUGUGAGAAGAUCAGAGUGCUCAAAGCAGGCACUUGCCGUGAAUGUAUUAGCAUGGAAUAAUAGAAUAGGACUUGGUUCUAUUUUGUUGGUUUGUUGGGACUGAGUAAUGAUUAAGAGGGACAGUUGGGGGCAUUUGUAUUUCGGUGCUAGAGGUGAAAUUCUUAGAUUACCGAAAGACAAACUGCUGCGAAAGCGUCUGCCAAGGAUGUUUUCAUUGA
This 382-nucleotide ribosomal RNA is filed under the name uncultured eukaryote. RNAcentral describes it as "partial 18S ribosomal RNA". It matches the Rfam family "Eukaryotic small subunit ribosomal RNA", at positions 592 to 976 of the family's 1831-position model. The record is from RNAcentral.